GACGAACGCUGGCGGCGUGCUUAACACAUGCAAGUCGAACGGAAAGGCCCUGCUUUCGUGGGGUUCUCGAGUGGCGAACGGGUGAGUAACACGUGAGUAACCUGCCCUUGACUUUGGGAUAACUUCAGGAAACUGGGGCUACUACCGGAUAGGAGCUCCCGCUGCAUGGUGGGGGUUGGAACGUUUCGGCUGGUGCGGAUGGGCUGGCGGCUUACCAGCUUGUUUGUUGGGUAGCUGCUUACCAAGCCUUUGAAGGAUAGCCGACAUGAGAGGGUGACCGGCCUCCUUGGGACUGAGAUACGGCGCAGUCUCCUACGGGGGGCAGUAGUGGGGAAUCUUGCACAAUGAGCGGGAGCCUGAUGAAGAGACGCCGCGUGCGGGAAGCCGUCCUUCGGGUUGUGAACCGCUUUCGCCUGUGACCACGCGUGAGUGACGGUAAUGAAUAAAGAAGCACCGGCUAACUUCGUG
RNAcentral lists this ribosomal RNA (468 nucleotides) under uncultured bacterium. Its description in RNAcentral is "partial 16S ribosomal RNA". It matches the Rfam family "Bacterial small subunit ribosomal RNA", at positions 28 to 507 of the family's 1533-position model. The record is from RNAcentral.